UGGGGAAUAUUGCACAAUGGGCGCAAGCCUGAUGCAGCCAUGCCGCGUGUAUGAAGAAGGCCUUCGGGUUGUAAAGUACUUUCAGCGGGGAGGAAGGCGAUAAGGUUAAUAACCUUGUCGAUUGACGUUACCCGCAGAAGAAGCACCGGCUAACUCCGUGCCAGCAGCCGCGGUAAUACGGAGGGUGCAAGCGUGAAUCGGAAUUACUUGGCGUAAAGCGCACGCAGGCGGUCUGUCAAGUCGGAUGUGAAAUCCCCGGGCUCAACCUGGGAACUGCAUUCGAAACUGGCAGGCUAGAGUCUGGUAGAGGGGGGUAGAAUUCCAGGUGUAGCGGUGAAAUGCGUAGAGAUCUGGAGGAAUACCGGUGGCGAAGGCGGCCCCCUGGACAAAGACUGACGCUCAGGUGCGAAAGCGUGGGGAGCAAACA
This 427-nucleotide ribosomal RNA is filed under the name uncultured bacterium. RNAcentral describes it as "partial 16S ribosomal RNA". It matches the Rfam family "Bacterial small subunit ribosomal RNA", at positions 355 to 774 of the family's 1533-position model. The record is from RNAcentral.